This 1500-nucleotide ribosomal RNA is filed under the name metagenome. RNAcentral describes it as "bacterial SSU rRNA". It matches the Rfam family "Bacterial small subunit ribosomal RNA". The record is from RNAcentral.
AGAGUUUGAUCAUGGCUCAGAUUGAACGCUGGCGGCAGGCCUAACACAUGCAAGUCGAACGGUAACAGGAAGAAGCUUGCUUCUUUGCUGACGAGUGGCGGACGGGUGAGUAAUGUCUGGGAAACUGCCUGAUGGAGGGGGAUAACUACUGGAAACGGUAGCUAAUACCGCAUAACGUCGCAAGACCAAAGAGGGGGACCUUCGGGCCUCUCGCCAUCGGAUGUGCCCAGAUGGGAUUAGCUAGUAGGUGGGGUAACGGCUCACCUAGGCGACGAUCCCUAGCUGGUCUGAGAGGAUGACCAGCCACACUGGAACUGAGACACGGUCCAGACUCCUACGGGAGGCAGCAGUGGGGAAUAUUGCACAAUGGGCGCAAGCCUGAUGCAGCCAUGCCGCGUGUAUGAAGAAGGCCUUCGGGUUGUAAAGUACUUUCAGCGGGGAGGAAGGGAGUAAAGUUAAUACCUUUGCCCAUUGACGUUACCCGCAGAAGAAGCACCGGCUAACUCCGUGCCAGCAGCCGCGGUAAUACGGACGGUGCAAGCGUUAAUCGGAAUUACUGGGCGUAAAGCGCACGCAGGCGGUUUGUUAAGUCAGAUGUGAAAUCCCCGGGCUCAACCUGGGAACUGCAUCUGAUACUGGCAAGCUUGAGUCUCGUAGAGGGGGGUAGAAUUCCAGGUGUAGCGGUGAAAUGCGUAGAGAUCUGGAGGAAUACCGGUGGCGAAGGCGGCCCCCUGGACGAAGACUGACGCUCAGGUGCGAAAGCGUGGGGAGCAAACAGGAUUAGAUACCCUGGUAGUCCACGCCGUAAACGAUGUCGACUUGGAGGUUGUGCCCUUGAGGCGUGGCUUCCGGAGCUAACGCGUUAAGUCGACCGCCUGGGGAGUACGGCCGCAAGGUUAAAACUCAAAUGAAUUGACGGGGGCCCGCACAAGCGGUGGAGCAUGUGGUUUAAUUCGAUGCAACGCGAAGAACCUUACCUGGUCUUGACAUCCACGGAAGUUUUCAGAGAUGAGAAUGUGCCUUCGGGAACCGUAAGACAGGUGCUGCAUGGCUGUCGUCAGCUCGUGUUGUGAAAUGUUGGGUUAAGUCCCGCAACGAGCGCAACCCUUAUCCUUUGUUGCCAGCGGUCCGGCCGGGAACUCAAAGGAGACUGCCAGUGAUAAACUGGAGGAAGGUGGGGAUGACGUCAAGUCAUCAUGGCCCUUACGACCAGGGCUACACACGUGCUACAAUGGCGCAUACAAAGAGAAGCGACCUCGCGAGAGCAAGCGGACCUCAUAAAGUGCGUCGUAGUCCGGAUUGGAGUCUGCAACUCGACUCCAUGAAGUCGGAAUCGCUAGUAAUCGUGGAUCAGAAUGCCACGGUGAAUACGUUCCCGGGCCUUGUACACACCGCCCGUCACACCAUGGGAGUGGGUUGCAAAAGAAGUAGGUAGCUUAACCUUCGGGAGGGCGCUUACCACUUUGUGAUUCAUGACUGGGGUGAAGUCGGAACAAGGUA